This is a long non-coding RNA of Bubalus bubalis (water buffalo), 890 nucleotides long. RefSeq lists it as uncharacterized. The transcript is spliced from 4 exons. The record is from RefSeq and is a predicted model, not a curated record. Lineage: Eukaryota; Metazoa; Chordata; Mammalia; Artiodactyla; Bovidae.
GUCUAAAGCACUGUUUGCACACGGGCCUGUGCUGGGCGCGGCCUCUCUCUCUCUCGGCUGAGUGGGCAGCUGUGGGGUGGGGUGGGGAGGCAUCUGUGCUCUGGCCUCUUGGGCAAGCUGCCUUUUCACUGGGCCGGUGAGGGAGGCGAAGGCCUGAGGCCUGUGUGUCUGUGGACUUGAAGGGUGCAGUUGAAGGAAAAUGCCAGGUGUUGGAGUUGGGUGGGUGCACAGAGAGACUGGAGAGGAGAGAAAAAAAAACUCUUGGAAAAAAAUCUAAGGUUCAUUUCGACCUGAAGUCCCUGAGACUCGAGGGAUGGGGAGGCAGCAGGAGGGGGAGAGAAGGGGGAGCCCCAGGUCGAGCCAGCAGGCACCCAGGGAUUUACAGCGAGGCGAUGGUUGGAGGCUGAAAAGCGAGGAGACACGAUUAUUAAUAAUCAAAGAGCUACUGCUGCUGGAGCAGAGAUGAAAGCCUUUCCAGGCCAGUCGGUGAUGCGCCUGGAGCUCUCCCCUGGGCAGCCACCUGCGUUCAGAAACACGUAAAGAAGGAAAUGAACAUGAGCCACAGUCCCCAUCUUCCCGUCCGAACGUAACCAACCACUAUUAGCAUUUCGUUGUCAUCCUCCUGACAUGCUCACAUGGUCGCCUAGGGAUGUACUAGUGACAAAAGUAGAUUCCAUGAUGUUUCGUCUCCGGAAUUUUCACUUAACUUAACAAAGACAUGGAAAGACAGAAAAACACGGCAUGGUGGCAGCUAACGGCUUUCCUGGCGGGACACCCAGCCCUGGGGCUUGUCCAGCACAGGAAUUCUGCUCGUCCUUUCCUGAACUGUGGCAGCCCACCAGGCUCCUCUGUCUGUGGCGAUUCUCCAGGCAAGAAUACUGGAGUGGGUU